CUGAAGGGGAGGAGGCCUGUUUGUGUUUCAGGGUGACCAUACCUUGGUACUUGUACUGUUCUCAGAAGUUAUAAUAUUGUCAUGUAUUACAUUCAAAUCAAGUCUAAAAAAUCAAGUUUAAAUCAAGUCUUUUAUUAGAUACUGUCCCUUUAUGGUGCCUAAGCCUUAAAAGGUAGUUAAUUUUAUCUGUGCAAAGUGGUGGUAUUGCCAGAAUAUCCAUACCUAAGCUUGUAAAAUUAUUUUGGAAAUAGAAAAGUCUUGUGAUAAUAGUAUUCAAAUAUGACCACUGACAAACUUUAAUGAACAAUCUCUGGACACAUGUAAAAUUGAGUCCUUUGAAGUGCUUUGCAUCAGUUUAUCUUUGCUCUAACAAAGUCAUUAGGGCUCUUAGCAACCAUUUGAAGGGGUAAGCGAGGCCAAAAAUGAGAAAAUUCUGCAUAUCAUUGCUGUUCUGAAAGAAUCCGCAGAAAAUUCAAUGUAUGUAAAAUGUUUUGCUGAAUUCCACAUUUCUUCCCCACAGAUAUGAGUGCUCUCUCUCUCUCUGUAGCUCCUUGUUUGCAUGUUUAAUGUUGUGCCACUCCGAGUCUCCUCGCUCCUAUGGAAUUCAGAUGCUGCAUUUGUGCAUUUGCAGGGCUGUGACCUCGAGCAGCAUUUGCUCAAUGCAGUAACUACCAGUUGAGAAACAAAACAAAAAUCAACUCUAAUUGUGCCCAUUUAAAUUCAAACAUUGAAAAAUAGCUUAAAUAUGGUAUUUCUGAAUGUAAAUUUUAUAAAAAGUCUGACGACUUUAGGAUUCUGUUAGCUCUUUAGUCCCUCUGUAACGAGGCUAUUACAUGGCAUUGCUCAGAUUGAUGUUGAAAAUAAUGCAGCUGCUCUUGCAGCUGCAGCAAGAAUUCACAGAAGCCAGGAUGCAAAGCAAGCUCUGAUCAAAGUCCCUGCCUUCAGCUUUCUGCAGCAGGUUUGGAGCAAGGUGCAAAUCCAGCAUCCCCUCCUUCUGCUUCUUGAUUCAUGCAGAGAAACAGAGGGUGACAGGAAUGAAUUGCAGCAGCAGUACACUGGGGCUGGAGUAAACACAGAUUUUGGCAAUUCCAAAGGUAUUUGACAUCCUCCUCAUCCCAUUUCCUUACUCUCAGGUUUGUGCAGGAUGACUGAGACUUUGGUUCUUGUUGGCUCUUUCAUGGACAGGUUGAUAUUAGCUAAAAACAAUCUUAAAUCAUAUUGAAACUGAGAUUUACACAUAACUUAACCCAACAGGAAAAAAUCAAGUCACCCAGUCUUUCAUAGCCACCUUGUAAGGCCUUCAGAAAAAUAGUUCCCAGGAAGACUUACAAUAGCAGAUGACCAAAGAAGCAAAGAACCAUCAUUCAC
Molecule: long non-coding RNA, 1368 nt
Filed under: Cyanistes caeruleus (blue tit)
Lineage: Eukaryota; Metazoa; Chordata; Aves; Passeriformes; Paridae
Description: lncRNA (ENSCCEG00000007252.1)
Source: RNAcentral